AGUUCUUUUUCCGCAGAGACUGCAGGUGCUACCAAUGAUGAUCUAAUUACCGAACUGCCAGAGUCUGAAGCUGCUCCCAAUAAUACUCUAAUUACCGAACUGCCAGGAUCUGCGGCUGAUAAUUAUUACUCAACUGCUGUAACACCAGG
Polyodon spathula (Mississippi paddlefish) is the source of this 149-nucleotide long non-coding RNA. RefSeq lists it as uncharacterized. The transcript is spliced from 3 exons. Lineage: Eukaryota; Metazoa; Chordata; Actinopteri; Acipenseriformes; Polyodontidae. The record is from RefSeq and is a predicted model, not a curated record.